UGGGGAAUAUUGGACAAUGGGGGCAACCCUGAUCCAGCAAUGCCGCGUGUGUGAAGAAGGUCUUCGGAUUGUAAAGCACUUUCGACGGGGACGAUGAUGACGGUACCCGUAGAAGAAGCCCCGGCUAACUUCGUGCCAGCAGCCGCGGUAAUACGAAGGGGGCUAGCGUUGCUCGGAAUGACUGGGCGUAAAGGGCGUGUAGGCGGUUUACACAGUCAGAUGUGAAAUCCCCGGGCUUAACCUGGGAGCUGCAUUUGAUACGUGUAGACUAGAGUGUGAGAGAGGGUUGUGGAAUUCCCAGUGUAGAGGUGAAAUUCGUAGAUAUUGGGAAGAACACCGGUGGCGAAGGCGGCAACCUGGCUCAUUACUGACGCUGAGGCG
This 381-nucleotide ribosomal RNA is filed under the name uncultured bacterium. RNAcentral describes it as "partial 16S ribosomal RNA". It matches the Rfam family "Bacterial small subunit ribosomal RNA", at positions 355 to 753 of the family's 1533-position model. The record is from RNAcentral.